CUCAUGCACACAGCCAGUCCACUGUUGAGAAGGCAUUGUGAAAUAUCUCUAGGCCCAUCACCUACGUGAUGUGACUCUUCUUUCCUGCCUGAACCCUGCCCCCAAGAGACAUUGUGACAUAUCACUGGGUCCAGCUUCCAGGUAAUGUAACAGUCCUGCCUUGGCCCUGCCCACAAGGGGCAUUGUGACAUAUUGCUGAGCCCAGUACCUAGGUGAUAUGACUCUCCUGAAUUGCCCCUGCACUCAGGGGAGACUUUUGACCCUGCCCAAAGUGGCAAUUGUGACAUAUCUUUGGCCAGCACCCAGGAGAUCCAAACUUUGUUCCUGGUCUCUCUCCACAGUUGGAAUUGGGAACUACACAUGGGCACAGCUUACAGGUGGAAUGAUGACUCACACCUGAAGAUAUUUUGACCUUUGUAGUCUUAGGGCAAAAACUAAGGUCCUGUGUCUUCAACUUGUAGGAUGGUCACGGAAUAUUACAACUUGCAUGCACGUUGAAUGAAGCCCUCAAAUGCUACAAAGAGUGCCAAAAUAGAGCCCAGCUAAAACUGUGGUAAAACUGUGGCUGUUGUAUGCAAACUCAAAUAAAAGUAAGGAUUAUCAGCCUUCCACAUUAACAGAACCCACUGUUGAGGUUCUGAAUCGCUCACCAAGAGGCAAUCAAGUUGGAAUUGUGACUCUCAUGCAUCAAUCCAAUCGACAGAUGAGAUGAUAACACCAAGUCCAGGAUUUAGAACACCUGGGGGCUGUGCUUCCCCUAUCAAAACACAGUCUGUUGGUGAGAUUUGGGCUCUCGUGCAUUGAUUUAGUCCACUGUUGUGACUGACUUGCAUAGUUGAACUCAAACCCACAAGAGGUGUUGACUCUUAUACCUUUAGCAGGAAAAUGUCCCGGAUUGUGAAUUUCUGCUAUUGACCGGGUCCAGCUGGAUCCAGGUAUGAGAGUCAUCAUCUCACCUGUGAGCUGUGACCAUGUAUAUGUCGCAAUUUCACCUGUCAUCAGGAAGCAGACAUGAGAGUCCUAUCACCUGGGUGCUGGACGAAGUUUCGCUCUUGUUUCCCAGGCCGGAGCACAAUGGUGUGAUCUCGACUCACUGCAACCUCCGCCUCCCGGAUUCAAGCGAUUCUCCUGCCUCAGCCUGCCGAGUAGCUGGGAUUACAGGUGCCCACCACGGUGCCCAGCUAAUUUUUGUAUAUUUAGUAGAGACUGGGUUUCACCAUGUUGACUAAGCUGAUCUUGAACUUCUGACCUCAGAUGAAAAAAGAUGCAAAGAAGACAUAUUUGCUUUUUAUCCACACAUCAUUUCCAAUCACUAUGCUGAGCAAAGUCAAUGUGAGCAGAGCUGAGAAUAGCAGUUUUCUGGCAGGACGGCCACUUCUGAGCAAAAAAUGACACAAUAAAAGUAUAAAUAUUUAAUAGUAAGCUAAUAUAUUUUCAGCAAAUUAAGCAUAUGCAUUAAUAAAAUUAUUGUGGUAU
Molecule: long non-coding RNA, 1476 nt
Filed under: Homo sapiens (human)
Lineage: Eukaryota; Metazoa; Chordata; Mammalia; Primates; Hominidae
Description: HSALNT0340986
Source: RNAcentral